This is a small nucleolar RNA of Tursiops truncatus (common bottlenose dolphin), 134 nucleotides long. NCBI's taxonomy places the organism in Eukaryota, Metazoa, Chordata, Mammalia, Artiodactyla, Delphinidae. The record is from Ensembl.
AUUAUCCUUAUCAGGUCAUUUAAAAUUUGUUCUGCCGCGUCACCUUUGUGUCAUUAGGUGGCAGAGAGAAGAGAGACUUGUCUACGCUCGGCGUUCUGGCCUGUGGACGUCUGGAUGAUUGAUAGUCUGACACU